Cyanistes caeruleus (blue tit) is the source of this 1553-nucleotide non-coding RNA. NCBI's taxonomy places the organism in Eukaryota, Metazoa, Chordata, Aves, Passeriformes, Paridae. The record is from RefSeq and is a predicted model, not a curated record.
GUUGGGAAAAAUCGUUUUUAAUACAGUGGCUUGAAGGGAGCUUUGACCUUGCACAUCAUUGCUUAUCAAAGCAUACUCAAAGCUGACAAAGCCUUUGAACAGGUCUCUAUUUCCUGCUCAGUUGGUUGGCCUUGCUGGCAGACUCAUUAAGUACUAGGUAAGAGUUGUCACUAAUGCCUUUCCUCUAUGUGUGUCUAGCAAGGUGUUGCAGUGCCUUUUUGUUCAUUAUAUUUGAUUCAAUUACCUAAUUUAUUGUUAAGUUGUACACCCCCACACUUUAAUACUUUAGUCCCAGUUAUGUUCCUACCCCUGGUUGCCAACCCACCCUGAUACCUGCCCCUUGUUCCCGAAUGUUCUGUGUUCCCCCUCCCAUUAAGUUGUCAAUCCUCCCUUGUGCCAACCCCUGCCUGCACCACCCCAUUUGGAAUUCUCCUAUUCCUCCAAGCCCCAUUGGCCCAUGUGCCCCACUCUCCACCCCUUGUCUUCCCCAUUGGCUUAUGCCUUAUGUAACCCUUCCUUCUGCUCCUCCCCUAAGUCUUCUCUAUUGGUUUAUGAUUUGUACAUGCCUCUUGCUCCUCCCCCCUAUAUAAGUUGCUGUACACUCUGUAUCUUUUGUCUUUCCUCCCUGGAACCUUCAGAAGAAUAAGUCUCUUUUGGAAGCCACAUGGAAGACCUCUCCCUCAUCCUUGCUCCUGCCCUCAACGCUGGACAGCUUGUGCUGUAGAGCAUAAUCCCUAAGCUGCCCUGCUUUCCAGGAGCAGCCCACUCUGGACUCGGUGCAGGGAGCUGGCUGGGGAAAAAUCCAGCACUGCAUCACAAGGAGUUUAGGAAAUGAGAGAUUAUGGGCAGCAGCUGUAUAUUUUCUGUUCCUCUGUGACCAAGGAUCCAUUUUAUUUCAUUUUGUAUUUAGGAAGUUUGUUACCUCCUUAUUUCAUGUGCACCAAGUUUCUUGCAGAUUUUUGAAAAUCUGGCCAUGGAAAAAUAUGUACUUUAUAAGCCUGUUGUGCUGAUGUGUUAUUAUGUUGUCACUACUUGAGGUGCCAGUGUGGGUAGCGUAAUAAUUUAUGGCAUUUUGGGGUCACUGUGCUGGCAGAACAUUUAGGUAGUAUUGGUUCUUUCAGGUGAUCUCUUAAUGGUUACUGGGUACCAUCCUGAUUCUCCUGACUUUCUGCCAGCAUUGUCCUGUGUUUGUUUCUGUCUUUGGCUUUUAACUCUGUGUAUUUUCACUUUUCUCAAAAGCAAGAUCCAGGAAGGGGGCGGGAGACAUGAGAAAUAUGAUUAAAGGUCUAGGUUAAAAUGUUAGAUAUUCUCAGUGCCUAAGGUGUAAAAACAUAGGUGGCACAAAACAGGCUUCAUGCUGACAUAGAAGUAGAGAGGUGACUCCUGUUCACCGUGACCUUGCAGUGACAGAGGACAAGUGAAUUUAACAGAACGGUUUGGUCUAAGCAGAGUGUAAAGCAGUGCUUCUGUACUUGUGUUGACAGUUGUUUAGCCUGUGGUACAUCUGUCUUCAGCUGUCCCUGCAUGAAAAAAAAUAAAGGUACUAAAAUCAA